AACCAGGAAAGGCUGUAGAGAAG
RNAcentral lists this non-coding RNA (23 nucleotides) under Cricetulus griseus (Chinese hamster). The record is from RNAcentral. Lineage: Eukaryota; Metazoa; Chordata; Mammalia; Rodentia; Cricetidae.